CCAAGGAGUCUAGCGUCCGCGCGAGUCCUUGGGUGUAAAACCUAGAGGCGCAAUGAAAGUGUCAGGGGUGCCUCCUUUAGGAGCGCUCCCCGUCGGGAGGAUGGGCCGCCGUACGUGUACUCGUCGGAGCCCCGCACUCCCGGGGCGUCUCGUUCUCAUCACGAGUGGAGACGCACCAGGAGCGCACACGCUGGUACCCGAAAGAUGGUGAACUAUGCCUGGCCAGGACGAAGCCAGGGGAAACCCUGGUGGAGGUCCGAAGCGAUUCUGACGUGCAAAUCGAUCGUCUGAGCUGGGUAUAGGGGCGAAAGACCAAUCGAACCAUCUAGUAGCUGGUUCCCUCUGAAGUUUCCCUCAGGAUAGCUGGCUCUCGGGAAGAGACGAGUCUCAUCCGGUAGAGCGAAGUGAUUAGAGGUGAUGGGGUCGAAACGACUUCAACCUAUUCUCAAACUCCCAAUAGAUGAGAGCCCCGGCUUGCUUAAAAGUGAAGCCGCGGGAAUCGGAUCAGAGAUGCCAAGUGGGCCAAUUUU
RNAcentral lists this ribosomal RNA (530 nucleotides) under Loxa viridis. RNAcentral's name for it is "partial large subunit ribosomal RNA". It matches the Rfam family "Eukaryotic large subunit ribosomal RNA", at positions 666 to 1138 of the family's 3401-position model. The record is from RNAcentral. Lineage: Eukaryota; Metazoa; Arthropoda; Insecta; Hemiptera; Pentatomidae.